This 349-nucleotide RNase P RNA is filed under the name Bacilli bacterium. RNAcentral describes it as "RNase P RNA component class B". It matches the Rfam family "Bacterial RNase P class B". From Rfam's summary of the family: Ribonuclease P (RNase P) is a ubiquitous endoribonuclease, found in archaea, bacteria and eukarya as well as chloroplasts and mitochondria. The record is from RNAcentral. Lineage: Bacteria; Bacillati; Bacillota; Bacilli.
UAAUCUGGGCAAACGCUAUAUUCUUUGUAAUAUAGAGGAAAGUCCAUGCUCGCACAAUCUGUGAUGAUUGUAGUGUUUGUGCAUAGGGAUGACUUAUGGUAAGUUUUUAAACUUAACGGCUUCGAGGUAACCUAAGUUUUUAUUAAUAUGGUUAUAUUAGAUAUAAAAGUGCCAUAGUGACGAGUAAUCUGGAAACGGUGGAAGUGGAACGUGGUAAACCCCACAAGCGAGAAACCCAAAUAAUGGUAGGGGAGUCUAAGGUUUGAUAAUUAAGAAUUGAACUUGGAAUUGAGUAAUCAAUAGAUAAAUGUUUGCCGCCUUUUUAAGGUACAGAACAUGGCUUAUAAGA